This 497-nucleotide ribosomal RNA is filed under the name uncultured bacterium. RNAcentral describes it as "partial 16S ribosomal RNA". It matches the Rfam family "Bacterial small subunit ribosomal RNA", at positions 28 to 507 of the family's 1533-position model. The record is from RNAcentral.
GAUGAACGCUGGCGGCGUGCCUAAUACAUGCAAGUCGAGCGAACGGACGAGAAGCUUGCUUCUCUGAUGUUAGCGGCGGACGGGUGAGUAACACGUGGAUAACCUACCUAUAAGACUGGGAUAACUUCGGGAAACCGGAGCUAAUACCGGAUAAUAUUUUGAACCGCAUGGUUCAAAAGUGAAAGACGGUCUUGCUGUCACUUAUAGAUGGAUCCGCGCUGCAUUAGCUAGUUGGUAAGGUAACGGCUUACCAAGGCAACGAUGCAUAGCCGACCUGAGAGGGUGAUCGGCCACACUGGAACUGAGACACGGUCCAGACUCCUACGGGAGGCAGCAGUAGGGAAUCUUCCGCAAUGGGUGAAAGCCUGACGGAGCAACGCCGCGUGAGUGAUGAAGGUCUUCGGAUCGUAAAACUCUGUUAUUAGGGAAGAACAUAUGUGUAAGUAACUGUGCACAUCUUGACGGUACCUAAUCAGAAAGCCACGGCUAACUACGUG